UGCAAGUCGAACGGUGAACACGGAGCUUGCUCUGUGGGAUCAGUGGCGAACGGGUGAGUAACACGUGAGCAACCUGCCCCUGACUCUGGGAUAAGCGCUGGAAACGGCGUCUAAUACUGGAUACGAGUAGCGACCGCAUGGUCAGUUACUGGAAAGAUUUAUUGGUUGGGGAUGGGCUCGCGGCCUAUCAGCUUGUUGGUGAGGUAAUGGCUCACCAAGGCGUCGACGGGUAGCCGGCCUGAGAGGGUGACCGGCCACACUGGGACUGAGACACGGCCCAGACUCCUACGGGAGGCAGCAGUGGGGAAUAUUGCACAAUGGGCGCAAGCCUGAUGCAGCAACGCCGCGUGAGGGAUGACGGCCUUCGGGUUGUAAACCUCUUUUAGCAGGGAAGAAGCGAAAGUGACGGUACCUGCAGAAAAAGCGCCGGCUAACUACGUGCCAGCAGCCGCGGUAAUACGUAGGGCGCAAGCGUUAUCCGGAAUUAUUGGGCGUAAAGAGCUCGUAGGCGGUUUGUCGCGUCUGCUGUGAAAUCCGGAGGCUCAACCUCCGGCCUGCAGUGGGUACGGGCAGACUAGAGUGCGGUAGGGGAGAUUGGAAUUCCUGGUGUAGCGGUGGAAUGCGCAGAUAUCAGGAGGAACACCGAUGGCGAAGGCAGAUCUCUGGGCCGUAACUGACGCUGAGGAGCGAAAGGGUGGGGAGCAAACAGGCUUAGAUACCCUGGUAGUCCACCCCGUAAACGUUGGGAACUAGUUGUGGGGUCCAUUCCACGGAUUCCGUGACGCAGCUAACGCAUUAAGUUCCCCGCCUGGGGAGUACGGCCGCAAGGCUAACACUCACAGGAAUUGACGGGGACCCGCACAAGCGGCGGAACAUGCGGAUUAAUUCGAUGCAACGCGAAGAACCUUACCAAGGC
Molecule: ribosomal RNA, 916 nt
Filed under: Microbacterium foliorum
Lineage: Bacteria; Bacillati; Actinomycetota; Actinomycetes; Micrococcales; Microbacteriaceae
Description: bacterial SSU rRNA
Rfam family: Bacterial small subunit ribosomal RNA
Source: RNAcentral